AAGGGGACAAGAUAAAAAUCUGCUCGUGCUUGCACGAUGAGAUUUUUUAGCUUAGGACCCGUCAAACAUGAGAAAGUAGCGAUUUACAUAGUAAAUCAGCAGAUUUCGAAUGUUUGUAGAAGUGCGAGAGUUGCUUUGCAACGAAGCAAUUCGUAGGCA
This 159-nucleotide small RNA is filed under the name human gut metagenome. RNAcentral's name for it is "Clostridiales-1 RNA". It matches the Rfam family "Clostridiales-1 RNA". The record is from RNAcentral.